RNAcentral lists this ribosomal RNA (674 nucleotides) under uncultured archaeon. Its description in RNAcentral is "bacterial SSU rRNA". It matches the Rfam family "Archaeal small subunit ribosomal RNA", at positions 151 to 828 of the family's 1478-position model. The record is from RNAcentral.
CCGCGAUAAGCCAUGAUUUCUGGAAUGAUUCAUGACUAAAACCUAUAUGGCCCCUGGAUUGGACUGCGGCCGAUCAGGCUGUUGGUGAGGUAAUGGCCCACCAAACCUAUUACCGGUACGGGCUCUGAGAGGAGGAGCCCGGAGAUGGGCACUGAGACAAGGGCCCAGGCCCUAUGGGGCGCAGCAGGCGCGAAACCUCUGCAAUAGGCGAAAGCUUGACAGGGUUACUCUGAGUGAUUUCCGCUAAGGGAAUCUUUUGGCACCUCUAAAAAUGGUGCAGAAUAAGGGGUGGGCAAGUCUGGUGUCAGCCGCCGCGGUAAUACCAGCACCCCGAGUGGUCGGGACGAUUAUUGGGCCUAAAGCAUCCGUAGCCGGUCCUGCAAGUCUUCCGUUAAAUCCAGCUGCUUAACAGAUGGGCCGCGGGAGAUACUACAGGGCUAGGAGGCGGGAGAGGCAAGCGGUACUUUAUGGGUAGGGGUAAAAUCCGCUGAUCCAUAGAAGACCACCAGUGGCGAAGGCGGCUUGCCAGAACGCGCUCGACGGUGAGGGAUGAAAGCUGGGGGAGCAAACCGGAUUAGAUACCCGGGUAGUCCCAGCUGUAAACGAUGCAGACUCGGUGAUGGGUUGGCCUCGCGCCUGCCCAGUGCCGCAGGGAAGCCGUUAAGUCUGCCGCC